ACUGAAUCAUUACCCAAUUCA
RNAcentral lists this small nuclear RNA (21 nucleotides) under Arabidopsis thaliana (thale cress). RNAcentral describes it as "snRNA_15712". Lineage: Eukaryota; Viridiplantae; Streptophyta; Magnoliopsida; Brassicales; Brassicaceae. The record is from RNAcentral.